CUAUUUAAGACCAUGAUAGGGCUGGAGUUUAGCCUAAACUACUUGAUCUUAUCUGAGCAGUGGGCGGCGGCGGAGCCGGCGACGGCGAAUUUGACCGGUGGUGUUGGGGAGGAGCUACCGUCCUAUUUAUGUAGGGUUUAUGGCGGCUCCGAUCAUCUCUUUCUCGCCGGUCAAUUUUCUGGAACCCCUUUUCCCUGCUUUGCUGCGAUGAAGACUGUUCGCCAUCUGAGCCUAUCAAAUAAAUCGGGGCGAUGAGGUGUAGCUAUCGGAUGCCACAAAUGACAAGAGUUCUGCUCUUCACUUUGCUAUUGCAAGUCAACUGGAAAUCGAGUUUGAGGCUUUGGCAGAUGCAGGUCAUGGCUAAAGGAUGUACGUAAACCUUACCCCCAACAAACGAUGAUACAGACUAUGAUCUAAUUUUGUUUUUUUGUGCGCAUAUUAUUUACUCUCCAGGGGUUGAAUCUUUUGGCAAUUGUGUGAAGAUUGUUUUUUUUUUGUUUUGCUUAACUGGAUAUUUUAUAUAAAUAAAGUUAAAGGUGCAAAUGCUGUAGCGUCUCCCCUAGAGAGUCAUUGGUCCCAGAAGUGUUUUGGCCUGUACCAUUACUAUUACAAUAAUUAACUUUCCUAACAAAAGUAGUUCCUAGCCCUAUGGCAAACAUUGGUGGAACUUCUAGGAAAGUAGCUUCCUCCGCAAAUGGUUUCUGUGUUCCUUCUUUUGCUAGCCGACCCGCUAGUCUGUUUCCCUCUCUAUACGUGUGCUUGAUGGUUGUUACUCCCGCUACCUGCAUCAAGUACCUGCACUCGGAGAUAAGAUUAUUAAAACAGAUAUGAUUGUUUAGCAUCAUUGAGAUUGCUUGGGAUGAAUCAGAGCAGAUAUGAAUGGGAGUUAGGUUCCUGCCUAUUGCCAGCUGAAGGCCAUAUCUGAUGACAAGAAUCUUGGCGUGGAUCGGGGAGGUGUAGGCCAAAGACUUAAUGAGGCUUUUUUUCCAGUUUCUUGUGUGGUCUCUUAUCACGCAUCCUAUACCUCCUUGCCCUGGUUGGUUAGGAGCUGCCCCAUCGACAUUAAGUUUGAAAGUGUAUAUGGGAGGAGGUUCCCAUUGCACUUGGAUAUUUAUGUUCGGAGGCUUCUUGGGGAUGUUUUCUUUCACAAGGUGAUAGUAUUCAUUCGCAUGUGCAAUGAUGGUUUCUACAGGGACCUGUUCCCUUGUGUUGUUGAAAAGAUUUCCAUUCCUGCUUUUCCAAAUCCACCAGAGGCUGAGGGGGAUUAUGAUGGCUCCAGGGGACCCAAUCAUUGAAGGCUUUAAGCUUCAAAAAAUUCCAAGUGUUGAGCCAGUUGUUGGUAUUCAGGGUUGUGGUGUCGAUAUCAGAGAUAGAGUUGCUUUGUCUUGCUAAUCUACCCCAGAAGACUCUUGCUCUAUUGCAAUGAAAGAAGAUGUGAUCAACGUCUUCAGCGUCCGUGUUACAGUAUUGACAAUUGGGGUGUGUCAAGAUUCUUUGUAUAGAAAGAUUAGCUAUUUUUCUAGCACUUUCUUCCUUCCAAUAUUUCCAGUUUAUGAGACGUGAUGAAAAUGGCCUCUUUAAUAGAAAUAUACAUUCUACUCAA
Long non-coding RNA from Solanum dulcamara, 1603 nucleotides. RefSeq lists it as uncharacterized. The record is from RefSeq and is a predicted model, not a curated record. Lineage: Eukaryota; Viridiplantae; Streptophyta; Magnoliopsida; Solanales; Solanaceae. The transcript is spliced from 2 exons.